Molecule: small nuclear RNA, 104 nt
Filed under: Notamacropus eugenii (tammar wallaby)
Lineage: Eukaryota; Metazoa; Chordata; Mammalia; Diprotodontia; Macropodidae
Source: RNAcentral
GUGCUCUCUUUGGCAACAUAUAGAUUAAAACUGGAAUGACACAGAGAUCAGCAUGGCCCUUGAGCAAGGAUAACACACAAAUUUGUGUUUUUCUGGCAUUCUCA